RNAcentral lists this ribosomal RNA (1065 nucleotides) under Triticum aestivum (bread wheat). RNAcentral describes it as "partial small subunit ribosomal RNA". Lineage: Eukaryota; Viridiplantae; Streptophyta; Magnoliopsida; Poales; Poaceae. The record is from RNAcentral.
AUGCCGGCCUCCGGCGAGGGUGGCACCACCUCCGACCCCCCUCUGGUUGACAGCUAUCGCACGCUGCUCCGCAAAGGAGGUGGCGACGGCUUUGUGCCGGCGCUGGCGGCCGAGAGCCUGGCCGUGCUGGAGUGCGACCUGCCGAUGAUCGACUUGGAGCGCCUGAUGAUGGGCGACGCUAGGGAGAGGGGCGUGUGUAUGGACGCCAUGGCGAGCGCGGCGUCGGAGUGGGGCUUCUUCCAGGUGAUCAACCACGGCGUGGGGCAGGAGCUCCUGGAGGAGAUGAGGCGGGAGCAGGCGCGGCUAUUUCACCAGCCGUUCAAUAUCAAGGAGAAGGCCGGACUCCUCAACGGGUCGUACCGGUGGGGGACCCCGACGGCGACGUCGCUCCGGCAGCUCUCGUGGUCGGAGGCCUUCCACGUUCCGCUCGCAAGCAUCUCUGGGGAAGACGACUGCGGGCAUGCAGAGCUCAGCUCCCUGAGGGGAGUGAUGCAGGAGGUGGCGGCCGCGAUGUCGCGGGUGGCGGACACGGUGGCCGGGACGCUGGCGAAGAACCUCGGGCACGAGUCGACGUUCCCGGCGGCGGCGGGGUGCGACGGGACGACGUGCUUCCUGCGGCUGAACAGGUACCCGGCGUGCCCGUUCGCGGCGGACACGCUCGGCAUGGUGCCGCACACGGACAGCGACUUCCUCACCGUCCUUUGCCAGGACCAGGUUGGGGGCCUGGAGAUCAUGAAGGACUCCCACUGGGUCGCUGUGAAACCCCACGCCCACGCGCUCAUGGUCAACGUCGGCGAUUUGUUCCAGGCGUGGAGCAACAACAGAUACAAGAGCGUGGAGCACAGGGUGGUGGCCAACUCCAAGGCGGAGCGCUUCUCCGUCGCCUACUUCAUGUGCCCGCCGUGUGACUCGCCCGUCGGCACAUGCGCCGAGCCGUCGCCGUACAAGCCGUUUACCUUCGGGGAGUACAGGCGCAAGGUGCAGGAAGAUGUCACGCGAACGGGGAAGAAGAUUGGUCUGUCCAACUUUCUCAAAGGUUCUACCUUUGACGGCCUGGCUGAAUGA